UACGUAGGUGGCGAGCGUUGUCCGGAUUUACUGGGCGUAAAGAGCGCGCAGGCGGUCGUUCAAGUCGCGUGUGAAAGCCCCCGGCUCAACUGGGGAGGGUCACGCGAUACUGAUCGACUCGAAGGCAGGAGAGGGAAGUGGAAUUCCCGGUGUAGUGGUGAAAUGCGUAGAUAUCGGGAGGAACACCAGUGGCGAAGGCGACUACCUGGCCUGUUUCUUGACGCUGAGGCGCGAAAGCUAGGGGAGCAAACGGG
Molecule: ribosomal RNA, 254 nt
Filed under: uncultured bacterium
Lineage: Bacteria
Description: partial 16S ribosomal RNA
Rfam family: Bacterial small subunit ribosomal RNA
Source: RNAcentral